This 374-nucleotide ribosomal RNA is filed under the name uncultured organism. RNAcentral describes it as "partial 16S ribosomal RNA". It matches the Rfam family "Bacterial small subunit ribosomal RNA", at positions 527 to 896 of the family's 1533-position model. The record is from RNAcentral.
GAACCGUACGAACGUUAUUCGGAAUCACUGGGGCUUAAAGGGGUGCGUAGGCGGCCUGGUCAGUUGGGUGUGAAAUCCCUCGGCUCAACCGAGGAACUGCGCUCAAUACUACCAGGCUUGAGGGAGAUAGAGGUGAGCGGAACUGAUGGUGGAGCGGUGAAAUGCGUUGAUAUCAUCAGGAACGCCUGUGGCGAAAGCGGCUCACUGGGUCUCUUCUGACGCUGAGGCACGAAAGCUAGGGUAGCGAACGGGAUUAGAUACCCCGGUAGUCCUAGCCGUAAACGAUGAGCACUAGACCGGAGACCCUUCCACAGGAUUCCGGUCGUAGCGAAAGUGUUAAGUGCUCCGCCUGGGGAGUAUGGUCGCAAAGGCUG